Molecule: ribosomal RNA, 253 nt
Filed under: uncultured bacterium
Lineage: Bacteria
Description: partial 16S ribosomal RNA
Rfam family: Bacterial small subunit ribosomal RNA
Source: RNAcentral
UACGGGGGGGGCAAGCGUUGUUCGGAAUUACUGGGCGUAAAGGGCGCGUAGGCGGCCUGCUAAGUCGGACGUGAAAUCCCUCGGCUCAACCGGGGAACUGCGUCCGAUACUGGUGGGCUCGAAUCCGGGAGAGGGAUGUGGAAUUCCAGGUGUAGCGGUGAAAUGCGUAGAUAUCUGGAGGAACACCGGUGGCGAAGGCGGCGCUCUGGGCUGCACCUGACGCUGAACUGCGAAAGCCAGGGGAGCGAACGGG